AUGGCCCUGAAACAAGGCCAGCAGCUUCCUGACGAUGUUGGUUUGAAACAGGAGCCUAAAGAGAUGUCUUUCUAUGAUCUGUUGACCAUUUCAGAACAUGGGCAGUGAAAUGGUCAAUUCAUUAGAAAGAAACAGCU
Molecule: small nucleolar RNA, 137 nt
Organism: Cavia porcellus (domestic guinea pig)
Lineage: Eukaryota; Metazoa; Chordata; Mammalia; Rodentia; Caviidae
Source: Ensembl